CAUUACUUUCCUAUGGGAAGGCAUUGGAUUGACUUAGCCUUAGAUCAUCUAGUUUGAUAAUCUCAGCCAGGAGGUGUCAAUUCCAAUGUUAGAAACAGAAUUAUGUGGAACACAAAUUCAGACGUCUCUUUAAAAAGAAAUUAAAAUGAGCUUACUUGUUUAAAUAGCCAGGAAUUAGUAAUGGAUAUAUGAAUUAAACAAGAUAUAGUUGAAUUUCCUUCCUUCAAGCAGAAAAAAACAAGGAGUAGAAGUGAUUAGUUUGGCUUGAGUCUGUAUAGACCUAAUCCAGCAGAAAUAGUAUGAA
Non-coding RNA from Pelobates cultripes (western spadefoot toad), 304 nucleotides. The record is from the annotation of a GenBank genome assembly. Lineage: Eukaryota; Metazoa; Chordata; Amphibia; Anura; Pelobatidae.